This 471-nucleotide ribosomal RNA is filed under the name uncultured crenarchaeote. RNAcentral's name for it is "bacterial SSU rRNA". It matches the Rfam family "Archaeal small subunit ribosomal RNA", at positions 1 to 480 of the family's 1478-position model. The record is from RNAcentral. Lineage: Archaea; Thermoproteati; Thermoproteota.
UUCCGGUUGAUCCCGCCGGACCCGACUGCUAUCGGAUUGGGACUAAGCCAUGCGAGUCAACUCCGCAAGGGGUGGCGCACGGCUCAGUAACACGUAGUCAACCUACCCUAGGGACGGGGAUAACCUCGGGAAACUGAGGCUAAACCCCGAUAGGCCAUUGUUCCUGGAAUGGACCAUGGCUGAAAUCUAUAUGGCCCUAGGAUGGGACUGCGGCCGAUCAGGUUGUUGGUGGGGUAAUGGCCCACCAAGCCUAUAACCGGUGCGGGCCCUGAGAGGAGGAGCCCGGAGAUGGGCACUGAGACAAGGGCCCAGGUCCUAUGGGGCGCAGCAGGCGCGAAACCUCCGCAAUGGGCGAAAGCCCGACGGGGUCAGUCCGAGUGGUCCCCGCUGAGGGGACCUUUUGCCAGCUGUAAACAGGCUGGAGAAUAAGGGGUGGGCAAGUUUGGUGUUAGCCGCCGCGGUAAAACCAGC